RNAcentral lists this long non-coding RNA (823 nucleotides) under Homo sapiens (human). RNAcentral's name for it is "HSALNT0318155". Lineage: Eukaryota; Metazoa; Chordata; Mammalia; Primates; Hominidae. The record is from RNAcentral.
CGCCACCCGUCUGGGGCCCGAAAGGAGGGAGCUUUCCCUCUGUCCCCCAGCCUUUGGACUGUCACCAAACAAGCCAUUCGUUCACCAAAUACUUUUUAAGCGCCUACCAUGUGCCUGACAAGGGAUAUGUAACGGUGAGAAAAACUAGGUGUGGUCCAGGCCCUUCAGGGACUCAGGGGCUCGUGGAAGAAGUGGAUAUUGAAGUACUUAUCACACAAAGGAGGAUAAAAGUACGAUAGCGAUAUCUACCACGAAGCUGUUGUUCCACACCAGAACCAAAUGAGCGCAAGAUCUGACAAAAAAAAAAGGUUCAUCUUUUAUUCUUCCAAACACUUUCAUUUAAAUCAAGAGGAUGGGAUGUGGUUAUUACUGUGUUUUUAGACAAAAUCAAUGGUUUCUGGCUCUGAGAUGUUGCAUACACCCUCUCAGUCCCUGUAUCCUGAGAUGGAGUCACCUGAGAAUCCACAGCAAGUCCUAACCAGGGAUGGGUCUGGGUGAUUAAGGAAGAUUGGCUUCAGAACUGGGCCAGGGGCACUGCUUUGCUUUUGCUGUUUUGAUCAGCUCUCUGCCUGCAGGAGACGAGGAAAACCAAUGGGAACAGCUGGGGAAACUGAGUUACAGAGCUUUUCUGCACUGAGUCAUCAGGAGCAAAUGCUAGAUCAGAUAGGGUCUCUCUCUCUGCCACUCAGGCCAGAGUGCAGUUGACGCAGAGCAGGGGAGCCCUGAAAUGGAGCAUAGUGUGUCCGGAACUGGUGGGUUCUUGGUCUCACUGACUUCAAGAAUGAAGCUGCGGACCCUCGGGAUGAGUGUCACAGUUCUUAAA